UUGGUCCUCGCCGUCAACUAAUUCCCCCGCAAGAUUGCAAGAGUUGUUACAGAUGAUGUAUUCAAAUCUGCAACACUUCAAUCCAUGUUGUACAAGUUAAUUAUGAUGAAAUUCAAUAGUUGACGAAAUUCUUAACAUGAUAAGUAAAUUUCUAAUUUUCUUUUAUUAACACACUACAGAUAUAUUGAUAUACAUGGAAAUAUUUUCAACCAAAAAAACAAGAAGUAUGUCUUUGUCAUUGUUAGACAGUUCGAACAAUUACCAAUUGCGACAUUCAACUCAAAAGGGAUGAGGAUGAAUACUACCAUGAGUAUAUGCAUUUGAAAAAUGCAGAAUCUGCUUCAAAUGUUGUUCUAAUUCAUCACAGUAUUGUGAAGGGGAGAGAAGCUUACAUCCAAAUCAAGCGAUUUAAUAAAGGAAAAUGAAAUGGAUAGUUGAUUUUAAGAGAUAUUUUAAGAAACAAAGUGAACUUGAGGCAAAAAGAGGUAAAGAGCUGAAAAUGAAAUUUAUGGCAGCGUAAGUAAUUUUUAGGAACGCGCCUGGAGGACCGCAAACGCACCCGAAGGACAACAAAUGACGAAUCCUGGUCAAUGCAGGAUUGCAAAUGCGCCAAGAGGGCCGUAGACGUGUUAGUCCUAUCAACUCAAGUUUGCGAACGCGGACUAAUCUCCAUGAACAUGGAGAGUCACGCUUCAGGCACUUAUUCACCCGUGCAGAAUGGGAAUUUAACCAAAUUGACAAACUUUAUGGUUGUGAGUCUCGGGAAUUGAUGAGAAAGCUUAGGAGCGUAUAUGGCAGCAGUACAUUGGACGACGAGGAUCUCACUAUUCCUACUGGCUUGAGCUCAAAGUGAUGCAGUUCAGAGAGUCCCUCGUAUUCUCUUUUGAUAUUUGGAUUGUGGGGACACAAUGUUAUUUUAGUUUGGGGUGCCUCCCUUGUAGUCAUUUUGUUGAUUGUUUCUGCCUACUAUGAUUGUGCCCUUGCGGGUGUACUUUUAUUUCUUUGUUAUGGAUUUAUGUGCCCUAGUUGGGCUUUGAUAAUUUGGAUGAUUUUUAUUGAUACAAUGUUGGAUU
This is a long non-coding RNA of Solanum tuberosum (potato), 1073 nucleotides long. RefSeq lists it as uncharacterized. The record is from RefSeq and is a predicted model, not a curated record. Lineage: Eukaryota; Viridiplantae; Streptophyta; Magnoliopsida; Solanales; Solanaceae. The transcript has 4 exons.